GGGCCGGUGGAUCAGAGGAAGAUCGCCUGCUUCGCAAGCAGGAGGCCGCGGGUUCGAAUCCCGCCCGGUCCA
This 72-nucleotide transfer RNA is filed under the name Thermoplasmatales archaeon. RNAcentral describes it as "tRNA-Ala". It matches the Rfam family "tRNA". Rfam says of the family: Transfer RNA (tRNA) molecules are approximately 80 nucleotides in length. Their secondary structure includes four short double-helical elements and three loops (D, anti-codon, and T loops). Further hydrogen bonds mediate the characteristic L-shaped molecular structure. tRNAs have two regions of fundamental functional importance: the anti-codon, which is responsible for specific mRNA codon recognition, and the 3' end, to which the tRNAs corresponding amino acid is attached (by aminoacyl-tRNA synthetases). tRNAs cope with the degeneracy of the genetic code in two manners: having more than one tRNA (with a specific anti-codon) for a particular amino acid; and 'wobble' base-pairing, i.e. permitting non-standard base-pairing at the 3rd anti-codon position. Lineage: Archaea; Methanobacteriati; Thermoplasmatota; Thermoplasmata; Thermoplasmatales. The record is from RNAcentral.